Molecule: microRNA precursor, 63 nt
Filed under: Bombyx mori (domestic silkworm)
Lineage: Eukaryota; Metazoa; Arthropoda; Insecta; Lepidoptera; Bombycidae
Description: mir-2774 microRNA precursor family
Rfam family: mir-2774 microRNA precursor family
Source: Rfam by way of RNAcentral
ACAACAUCGGGCCGUCGGUCUACCGAGCAAUAUCACCCGCUCGGUUGAAGAUAUUCCUGUAGA